GACGAACGCUGGCGGCGUGCUUAACACAUGCAAGUCGAACGGAAAGGCCCUGCUUUUGUGGGGUGCUCGAGUGGCGAACGGGUGAGUAACACGUGAGUAACCUGCCCUUGACUUUGGGAUAACUUCAGGAAACUGGGGCUCAUACCGGAUAGGAGCUCCUGCUGCAUGGUGGGGGUUGGAAAGUUUCGGCGGUUGGGGAUGGACUCGCGGCUUAUCAGCUUGUUGGUGGGGUAGUGGCUUACCAAGGCUUUGACGGGUAGCCGGCCUGAGAGGGUGACCGGCCACAUUGGGACUGAGAUAAGGCCCAGACUCCUACGGGAGGCAGCAGAGGGGAAUAUUGCACAAUGGGCGGAAGCCUGAUGCAGCAACGCCGCGUGCGGGAUGACGGCCUUCGGGUUGUAAACCGCUUUCGCCUGUGACGAAGCGUGAGUGACGGUAAUGGGUAAAGAAGCACCGGCUAACUACGUG
Molecule: ribosomal RNA, 468 nt
Filed under: uncultured bacterium
Lineage: Bacteria
Description: partial 16S ribosomal RNA
Rfam family: Bacterial small subunit ribosomal RNA
Source: RNAcentral